CAUAGACAGAGUAGCACCUUUCAUGUAUCUAUAAUUCUCCCAUCAACCUACUGUGCCCUACUUGAGCAAAGUUAGUAGUAAAUACGGCAAUAGAGAAGAGUGAAUUAGGGCCCUGGCAUCUUUUAAAGCAGUAAUAUCUUUUGGCUUUUCUUAUAGACUGGACCACUGAUGGAAGAACUGAGAGGGAAGAGCCAUUUUUGAUGCUCCUGGGAGAUUCUGACAGGCAUCAUCUGAUCAGUAGGCUGGCUCAGGACACCCCCUUCACGAAGGCCCAGUGACCACCUCAGUCCUGACUGCUGUAAACCAGACUGAUAAAUGUGGUAAUCACCUGUUGGUGACUCACCUCCAGUGGCUCUGGGUUAAGGAAACCAAACGGACCACAAGUUACACUGGCCUUUUCUGAACCUUGGAGUCAGCGCUUUGCCCACAGGGUGCCUGUUUCUCACUGGGAAAGCUCAUCUGUCUAGAAAACACCCUUCUGGUUUGACUUGAAGAUAAAGGCAAAAGGAAGAGGAAAGCAGGUGGUUCUGAAGCAGCAGAUACUCAAGAAUGAAUCACUGAAGGGGGGACCAGGAAAGCGGCAGGAAGUCUGGAGGGCCCUGGCUCUCAGGAGAAACAUUAAUAUAUGCCCCUCUGAGCAAGUUCAUUGGGAUAAAAACCCC
Molecule: long non-coding RNA, 662 nt
Filed under: Camelus dromedarius (Arabian camel)
Lineage: Eukaryota; Metazoa; Chordata; Mammalia; Artiodactyla; Camelidae
Description: lncRNA (ENSCDRG00005015378.1)
Source: RNAcentral